AGCAAUAUACCUCGUGGAAGAUCUUAGCAUAUCAAUAAGCGGAGGAAAAGAAACCAACAGGGAUUACCUCAGUAACGGCGAGUGAAGCGGUAAUAGCUCAAAUUUGAAAUCUGGCUUCGGUCCGAGUUGUAAUUUGUAGAAGAUGCUUCGGGUGUGGCUCCGGUCUAAGUUCCUUGGAACAGGACGUCAUAGAGGGUGAGAAUCCCGUAUGUGACUGGGUGCCUCCGCCUAUGUGAAGCUCUUUCGACGAGUCGAGUUGUUUGGGAAUGCAGCUCAAAAUGGGUGGUAUAUUUCAUCUAAAGCUAAAUAUUGGCCAGAGACCGAUAGCGCACAAGUAGAGUGAUCGAAAGAUGAAAAGCACUUUGGAAAGAGAGUUAAACAGUACGUGAAAUUGUUGAAAGGGAAGCGUUUGCAAUCAGACUUGCACGUUGCCGAUCAUCUGGUGUUCUCACCAGUGCACUCGGUUUCGUUCAGGCCAGCAUCGGUUUGGGUGGUUGGAUAAAGGCCUUGGGAAUGUAGCUUCUUUCGGGGAGUGUUAUAGCCCUCGGUGCAAUGCAGCCUACCUGGACCGAGGACCGCGCUUCGGCUAGGAUGCUGGCGUAAUGAUUGUAAACGACCCGUCUUGAAACACGGACCAAGGAGUCUAACAUCUAUGCGAGUAUUUGGGUGUUAAACCCAUAUGCGUAAUUAACGUGAACGGAGGUAAGAGCCCUUAAGGGUGCAUUAUCGACCGGUCCUGAUGUCUUCGGAAGGAUCUGAGUAAGAGCAUAGCUGUUGGGACCCGAAAGAUGGUGAACUAUGCCUGAAUAGGGUGAAGCCAGAGGAAACUCUGGUGGAGGCUCGCAGCGGUUCUGACGUGCAAAUCGAUCGUCAAAUUUGGGUAUAGGGGCGAAAGACUAAUCGAACCAUCUAGUAGCUGGUUCCUGCCGAAGUUCCCCCC
Molecule: ribosomal RNA, 940 nt
Filed under: Nagrajchalara hangzhouensis
Lineage: Eukaryota; Fungi; Ascomycota; Leotiomycetes; Helotiales
Description: partial large subunit ribosomal RNA
Rfam family: Eukaryotic large subunit ribosomal RNA
Source: RNAcentral